Molecule: ribosomal RNA, 720 nt
Filed under: uncultured bacterium
Lineage: Bacteria
Description: bacterial SSU rRNA
Rfam family: Bacterial small subunit ribosomal RNA
Source: RNAcentral
CUGGCGGCAGCUUACCAUGCAAGUCGAACGGUGUAUCUUGGAGCUUGCUUCAGGUGAGCAGUGGCGAACGGGUGAGUAACACGUGAGUAACCUGCCUCAAACUCUGGAAUAAGCGCUGGAAACGGCGUCUAAUACCGGAUAUGACAUCAAACCGCAUGGUUAUGGUGUGGAAAGUUUUUCGGUCUGGGAUGGACUCGCGGCCUAUCAGCUUGUUGGUGAGGUAAUGGCUCACCAAGGCGAUGACGGGUAGCCGGCCUGAGAGGGCGAUCGGCCACACUGGGACUGAAACACGGCCCAAACUCCUACGGGGGCAGCAGUGGGGAAUAUUGCACAAUGGGCGAAAGCCUGAUGCAGCGACGCCGCGUGAGGGAUGACGGCCUUCGGGUUGUAAACCUCUUUCAGCAGGGAAAAAGCGAAAGUGACGGUACCUGCAAAAAAAGCACCGGCUAACUACGUGCCAGCAGCCGCGGUAAUACGUAGGGUGCGAGCGUUGUCCGGAAUUAUUGGGCGUAAAGAGCUUGUAGGCGGUUUGUCGCGUCUGCUGUGAAAAUCCGGGGCUCAACCCCGGACUUGCAGUGGGUACGGGCAGACUAGAGUGUGGUAGGGGAGACUGGAAUUCCUGGUGUAGCGGUGAAAUGCGCAGAUAUCAGGAGGAACACCGAUGGCGAAGGCAGGUCUCUGGGCCACUACUGACGCUGAAAAGCGAAAGCAUGGGGAGCG